GUUUUCGCUGAGAGCAACACCAUCAUUUUGCUUUAAACGGUGCUGCUGAAAAACCCCUCACUUUCCCUCCGAAACACAGAGCGCACAGAACGAUGGCAGGAGAAGAAAAACGACACCAGAUGAUGCAGAAUCUCUUCGGAGAUGAAUCCGACGAGGAAGAUGAACUCGAAUCCAAUCCUCAACUCAAUUCCGAUGAAGGAGAGGGAGAGGUAGGCCAAGACGGAGAAGGAGAAGGAGAAGUUGAAGGACAAGGAGAGGUGGAAAUAGAGAGUGAAGGGGAGAUGGCGCAGAUUUCUCGGGAGAUUGAAGUGGAGUUUGGUGAUCAGAGAGAAGAAGAGAGUGGAGCUAGGGAUUCGGAUAGUGAUGCUAAAGAUGAUUAUAGUCAGCGCGUUGUUACUAGCCGGCGUAGGGAUGUUGUUGAAAGUGGAUCUGAGGAGAAUCAUUUCAAUGAAAAUGAUGGCGAAGAAGUUGAUGCAGCUAGAAGCCUAAGCGGGUCACCUAGAGAUGAGAAUGAUCAAACUCGUGAUUUGCAUUCUGCCCCGGAAAUCCGUGAUGUAUUUGGUGAUUUUGACGAUGAAGAGGAGGACAUGGGGUAUGCAGCUCAGCAGGACAUUGGACGAGAUUCAAAUAGAUAUCCAGCGGAUGCAGAAGGGAGUUAUGGAAAGAGCCUGAGACCAGAGGAUAUGCUUGCUGAUGAAGAUCACGAAUUAGAGGAGGAAAACAUUGAAAUGAAAACUAAAGAUAAGCCACUUGGGCCCCCCUUGGAGUUAGAGAUUCCAUUACGUGAACCACCAGCUCUUCCUAAUAAGAUGAACUUGAUUAAAGUUUCCAAUAUCAUGGGUAUUGAUCCAAAACCUUUUGAUCCUAAAACAUAUGAGGAAGAGGAUACCUUUGUAACUGAUGAACUUGGAAACAAGAAGCGCAUACGCUUGGAGAACAAUAUUGUACGUUGGAGAGAAGUCAAAAAUCCUGAUGGCACAACUUCUGUUGAAAGCAACGCUCGAUUUGUAAGGUGGUCUGAUGGUAGUCUUCAGUUGUUAAUUGGGAAUGAAGUUCUUGACAUAUCAGAGCAGGAUGCCCAGCAUGAUCAAUCACAUCUUUUCCUUAGACAUGGAAAGGGAAUCCUGCAAUCACAAGGAAGGCUAUUACAGAAAAUGAGAUUUAUGCCAUCUUCCUUGUCCUCAAAUUCUCAUCGAUUGUUGACUGCUAUUGUUGACUCAAGGCAGAGGAAGGUUUAUAAGGUUAAAAACUGUGUUACAAACAUUGAUCCUGAGAAGGAAAAGGAGGAAAAGGAAAAGGCUGAAAGUCAAACUAUUAGGGCUAGCGAACUGCUUAGCCGUAAGCGUGACAAGGUGAAUAAAAAAUAUACUCCAACUGACAGGAGGCCUCAACUUUCUCCUGGGUUUUUAGAGGAUGCAUUGGACGAGGAUGAUGAAGCAGAUUACUACGAUCCUCGUCAUAAACAGCGUCACUUUGAGGACGAAUUGGAAGCUGAAGUCCGGGCAGAGAAAAGGAUUAUGAAUGCUAAGAAGUCACAGGGACCAAAGAACAUCCCCUGUAAGUCAUCUAUUCCACCAGCAAAAUCCUCACGGAACCCAUUGGGUUACCCAUAUGAGAGAGAGGAAUCUGAAUAUGAAACUGAUGAAGACGAAGAAGAAGAAAUACCUCAUUCACGUACGAGGGAUGAUGAUACUGAGCCGGAGUAUGAGGACUCUGAAGAAGAUGAUGAAGAGACUGCUCAAGCCGAUUCUGCUGCUUCAGAAGAGGAAGAAGAGGAGGAACCGAAGCAUAAGAGUCGGGAUUUAAAAGGUAAGGUCAAAAGGAAGGGGUUUGAAUCUGAAGAACACUCUCUUCCUAGAAAACCAACCAAUCGGCGAAUGACCAUUGUGUCUGACAGUGACGACGAAUGAAAUUCUGUUCUUGCAAUUGGAAUUUGGAAGGAGCAAUGCUUUUUGCUGCAGCACAAGCUGAGAUGACGACUCGUUUUGCUUUUUCCCUCCUCUAUAUUCAUGCUUAUAAAAACUUAAAUUUUAAAGUUAUAGACACAUCAAGAAGAACCACAGGCACACAUCAAUUGGAUGAAGUAGAGGGAGAGGUAGGGCAAGAAGGAGAAGGAGAAGUGGAAGGACAAGGAGAGGUGGAAUUAGAGAGUGAAGGGGAGAUGGAGCAGAUUUCUCAGGAGAUUGAAGUGGAGGUUGGUGAUCAGAGAGAACAAGAGAGUGGAGCUAGGGGUUCGGAUAGUAUGCUAAAGAUGAUUAUAAUCAGCGCAUUGUUACAAGCAGGCGGAGGGAUGUUGUUGAAAGUGGAUCUGAGGAAAACCUUUUCUAUAAAAAUGAUGGUGUAGAAGUUGAUGCAGCCAGAAGCCUAAGGGUGUCUAGUCUAUACAAAUAUGUCUUGUGUAGAUUGUACAGAUUGCAUUAAAAAUUUCCUUCAACCAAGUUGUCUGUGCACUUAUUUCUAUCAUUGAAUUUCAAAUCCAACAAGCUUCAGAUUAAGAGUAUUAGAGUAAUCCUUAGCAGCAGUGAAGUAAAAGAGUAUAAAAAAGCAGCAUUGAUCUAAUUUGGGCCAAAAUACCCCAUAUUCCUUUUCUCCUCUUAGCUAACUCUCUGAUCCUAGUCACUGUUUGGCUUCCAUAUGCUAUUUGGUCUCACCAUCAAGAAAAAAAACAACUUGCACACCCAAAGAAUUUGAAAGAGAAGGAAACUUGUGCAGAACAUGCAAAUUUCAAGGACUUGCAGACGCAGACAGAGAGUAGCCGCGUCCAGGCCCUGAGACUUAACAUCACCCAACAGAGCCGUUUCUGUGUUUCCUCGAGAAAAACAUGCAAAUUUCACCCCUGGUGCCUGAUAUUCUGCGGAUGAAGAAGGGACUUAUGGAAAGAGCCUGAGACCAGAGGAUACACUUGCUGAUGAAGAUCAUCAAUAUGAAUUAGAGGAGGAAAACAUUGAAAUGGAAACUAAAGAUAAGCCACUUGGCCCCCCCCUUGGAGUUAGAGAUUCCAUUAAGUAAACCACCAGCUCUUCCUAAUAAGAUGGACCUGAUUAAAGUUUCCAAUAUCACGGGUGUUGAUCCAAAACCUUUUGACCCACAAGAAGCGCAUACACUUGGAAAACAAUAUUGUACGUCGGAGAAAAGUCAGAAAUCCUGAUGGCUCAACUUCUGUGAAAGCAAUGCUCGUUAUGUAAGGUGGUCUGAUGGCAAUCUUCAGUUAUUAAUUGGGAAUAGGGGUGGGAAUAGGCUGGGCCGAGCUAGGCUUUGCCAAGCCUGAGCCUGGCCUGCUAUAAUAUUCAAAGCCUAAGCCUGGCCUGUAGCCUAUCAUAGGCUUAUUUUUUUGGCCUGGGCCCGGCCUUUUUGAAGGCCUGAUUGGCCUAUUAGCCUACUUAAAAGCCUAUUUCAUUUGAACAUUUGUAAAUAAGUCAUUCAACUCGUCUUUAUAUAGACUAACAAAUUAAGAGAUCAGUGAGAUUAAAUGUUUGUUUGCAUUAGUUUAUUUAAGUUUACCUAGUAGCAUAAAUUUUGUGAUAUUAUUUGUUUGAGAGAACUUAUCGAAACAACUUAUGACAUUGUUCAUAAGAUUCUUUUCAUCUUAUUUUCAUAAUUUCUUCAAGAUAACUAAUUUUUUUUUUAUAUUUUUAAUUCAAAGUAAAAAAUAUAAUAUAAUAAUAAUAAAAUUAUUCAUAUUUAUUUAAGUAGGCUGGCCUCUUAGGGUUAAAAGGCUUUUUAUGUGGCCUGUGGCCUAGCCUUUUUAGCUAAAUAGGCUUAUAAAAAAGCCUAGGCCUUUUCUAUUUAUCUAAAAAGCCUAGCCUGACCUAGGCCUAUGUAGGCUGGGCCGUAGGCCCCUGUUAGUUGGCCUGGCCUAUUCCCACCCCUAAUUGGGAAUGAAGUUCUUGACAUAUCAGAGCCGGAUGCCCAGCAUGAUCAAUCACAUAUUUUUCUAAGACAUGAAAAGGGAAUCCUGCAUUCACAAGGAAGGCUAUUGAAGAAAAUGAAAUUUAUGCCAUCUUCCUUGUCCUCAAUUUCUCAUCGGUUGUUGACUCAAGGCAAAGGAAGAUUUAUAAGGUUAAAAACUGUGUUACAGACAUUGAUCCUGAGAGGGAAAAAGAGGAAAAGG
RNA transcript from Vicia villosa (hairy vetch), 4111 nucleotides. It is a transcript of the gene named protein LEO1 homolog, with no coding region annotated. The transcript has 17 exons. The record is from RefSeq and is a predicted model, not a curated record. NCBI's taxonomy places the organism in Eukaryota, Viridiplantae, Streptophyta, Magnoliopsida, Fabales, Fabaceae.